Molecule: ribosomal RNA, 309 nt
Filed under: Triticum aestivum (bread wheat)
Lineage: Eukaryota; Viridiplantae; Streptophyta; Magnoliopsida; Poales; Poaceae
Description: partial small subunit ribosomal RNA
Source: RNAcentral
AUGACUAGGGAUAACCUUACUAAGAGACACAUCAUCAAACCCCUUGAUUGUGUUUACUGCUUGGAACAAGAGUCUUGUUCUCACCUAUUUUUUGAAUGUAUAGUUGCUAAACAUCUCUGGGCCCACAUUGAGGAAUAUUUCUCUAGUCAGAUUGGCUCAUCCUUCGAAUCUGUCACCAGAUUCUGGAUUGCUACCAAAAAAUGCUCAGUUUUAAACACUGUUAGCUCAGCUGUCCUUUGGAGCCUCCGGAAAUAUAGAAAUGCUAUGAUUUUCAGUAACACCUCCUGGAUUCCAUUCUGCAGGUCUUGA